GCCCGCGGCCGAUUAGCUAGUUGGUGGGGUAAAGGCUCACCAAGGCAACGAUCGGUAGCCGGCCUGAGAGGGCACACGGCCACACUGGCACUGAAACACGGGCCAGACUCCUACGGGAGGCAGCAGUGGGGAAUCUUGCACAAUGGGGGCAACCCUGAUGCAGCGACGCCGCGUGAACGAUGAAGCCCUUCGGGGUGUAAAGUUCUUUCGACGGGAACGAUAAUGACGGUACCCGGAGAAGAAGCUGCGGCUAACUACGUGCCAGCAGCCGCGGUAAUACGUAGGCAGCGAGCGUUGUUCGGAGUUACUGGGCGUAAAGAGUGCGUAGGCGGUCAGCCAAGUUUGGUGUGAAAUCUCCCGGCUCAACUGGGAGGGUGCGCCGAAAACUGGUUGGCUAGAGUAUGGGAGAGGAAAGCGGAAUUCCUGGUGUAGCGGUGAAAUGCGUAGAUAUCAGGAGGAACACCUGUGGUGUAUACAGCUUUCUGGACCAAAACUGACGCUGAGGCACGAAAGCGUGCGUAGCAAACAGGAUUAUAUACCCUGGUAGUCCACGCCCUAAACGAUGCAUGCUUGGUGUGCGCCGUUCAGUCGGUCUGUGCCCGGAGCUAAACGCGUUAAGUCCGCCGCCUGGGGGGAGUACGGGUCGCAAGGCUGAAACUCAAA
This 663-nucleotide ribosomal RNA is filed under the name uncultured Alkaliphilus sp. Its description in RNAcentral is "bacterial SSU rRNA". It matches the Rfam family "Bacterial small subunit ribosomal RNA", at positions 229 to 905 of the family's 1533-position model. Lineage: Bacteria; Bacillati; Bacillota; Clostridia; Peptostreptococcales; Natronincolaceae. The record is from RNAcentral.